UGGGUUUUUUCCCUUAUAGCGGCGAGUGAGCGGCAAAAGCUCAAAUUUGAAAUCUGGCACUUUCAGUGUCCGAGUUGUAAUUUGAAGAAGGUAUCUUUGGGUCUGGCUCUUGUCUAUGUUUCUUGGAACAGAACGUCACAGAGGGUGAGAAUCCCGUGCGAUGAGAUGUCCCAGACCUAUGUAAAGUUCCUUCGAAGAGUCGAGUUGUUUGGGAAUGCAGCUCUAAGUGGGUGGUAAAUUCCAUCUAAAGCUAAAUAUUGGCGAGAGACCGAUAGCGAACAAGUACAGUGAUGGAAAGAUGAAAAGAACUUUGAAAAGAGAGUGAAAAAGUACGUGAAAUUGUUGAAAGGGAAGGGCUUGAGAUCAGACUUGGUAUUUUGUAUGUUACUCUCUCGGGGGUGGCCUCUACAGUUUACCGGGCCAGCAUCAGUUUGGGCGGUAGGACAAUUGCAAAGAAAUGUGGCACUGCCUCGGUAGUGUGUUAUAGUCUUUGUCGAUACUGCCAGCCUAGACUGAGGACUGCGGCUUCGGCCUAGGAUGUUGGCAUAAUGAUCUUAAGUCGCCCGUCUGAAAACCCGGAAACAACACGGCCCGCGUGGUUAAGGAAAAAGACCACUUUUUUUUUUUUUAGAAACAAAACAAAUUUUUUUUAAAAGAAAAAAAAAAAAAGUUUUUUGUUUUAUGGAUAGUUCUCUU
This 696-nucleotide ribosomal RNA is filed under the name Lodderomyces orthopsilosis. RNAcentral's name for it is "Candida orthopsilosis partial large subunit ribosomal RNA". The stretch from base 1 to 579 matches the Rfam family "Eukaryotic large subunit ribosomal RNA", at positions 70 to 664 of the family's 3401-position model. Lineage: Eukaryota; Fungi; Ascomycota; Pichiomycetes; Serinales; Debaryomycetaceae. The record is from RNAcentral.